RNAcentral lists this ribosomal RNA (429 nucleotides) under Chloroflexota bacterium. Its description in RNAcentral is "Chloroflexi bacterium partial 16S ribosomal RNA". It matches the Rfam family "Bacterial small subunit ribosomal RNA", at positions 355 to 776 of the family's 1533-position model. Lineage: Bacteria; Bacillati; Chloroflexota. The record is from RNAcentral.
UGGGGAAUAUUGCACAAUGGGCGCAAGCCUGAUGCAGCCAUGCCGCGUGUGUGAGGAAGGCCUUCGGGUUGUAAAGUACUUUCAGUCGGGAGGAAGGUGUCAAGGUUAAUAACCUUGGCAAUUGACGUUACCGACAGAAGAAGCACCGGCUAACUCCGUGCCAGCAGCCGCGGUAAUACGGAGGGUGCAAGCGUUAAUCGGAAUUACUGGGCGUAAAGCGCACGCAGGCGGUUGAUUGAGUCAGAUGUGAAAUCCCCGGGCUUAACCCGGGAAUUGCAUCUGAUACUGGUCAGCUAGAGUCUUGUAGAGGGGGGUAGAAUUCCAUGUGUAGCGGUGAAAUGCGUAGAGAUCUGGAGGAAUACCGGUGGCGAAGGCGGCCCCCUGGACGAAGACUGACGCUCAGGUGCGAAAGCGUGGGGAGCAAACAGG